CUGCAGAUGAAGCCUUUGCCUCUCAACAAAAGAAAAUCCGCUUCUUCCUAUGAAGUUUCUGGUUUUUUCCAGAGGACUGAACAGGUCAUCUUUGCCUCAUAAAUCAGAGCCUACAAGGUAGACCCAGGACCCCACUGUGCUAGGUUCUGCACAAACGCUGAACAGAGGCAGUAAAUGAUUACAGAGGGAUGGUAACUAAAAGGUGCUUUUCCCACAUGAGUGCAAGAAGAGUAGCUAGUUAAAAGAAGUGACUGCUGGGGAGGACAGCAUGACCGCCAUGAAAGGAAGCUGCCUCCUCUCACUGCUGUUGGCGGGACUUGGGGUAUUAGGAAUACUGGAGCCAACAACAACAGAAGAUACCCACUGCCACAGAGCUGAGCACCCAGUUAUUGCAU
This is a long non-coding RNA of Calidris pugnax (ruff), 395 nucleotides long. RefSeq lists it as uncharacterized. The transcript has 3 exons. The record is from RefSeq and is a predicted model, not a curated record. Lineage: Eukaryota; Metazoa; Chordata; Aves; Charadriiformes; Scolopacidae.